Molecule: ribosomal RNA, 572 nt
Filed under: Bidessini sp. MB1177
Lineage: Eukaryota; Metazoa; Arthropoda; Insecta; Coleoptera; Dytiscidae
Description: SSU rRNA
Rfam family: Eukaryotic small subunit ribosomal RNA
Source: RNAcentral
CUCAGUACGAGCCGCAUUAAGGUGAAACCGCGAAAGGCUCAUUAAAUCAGUUAUGGUUCCUUAGAUCGUACCCACAUUUACUUGGAUAACUGUGGUAAUUCUAGAGCUAAUACAUGCAGAUAGAGCUCCGACCGGAGACGGAAGGAGUGCUUUUAUUAGAACAAAACCAAUCGGCGGCGGGCGCGUUCGCGCGUCCGUUCGCCGCUCUACCUGGUGAAUCUGAAUAACUUUCAGCUGAUCGCACGGUCUCGCACCGGCGACGCAUCUUUCAAAUGUCUGCCUUAUCAACUGUCGAUGGUAGGUUCUGCGCCUACCAUGGUCGUAACGGGUAACGGGGAAUCAGGGUUCGAUUCCGGAGAGGGAGCCUGAGAAACGGCUACCACAUCCAAGGAAGGCAGCAGGCGCGCAAAUUACCCACUCCCGGCACGGGGAGGUAGUGACGAAAAAUAACGAUACGGGACUCAUCCGAGGCCCCGUAAUCGGAAUGAGUACACUUUAAAUCCUUUAACGAGGACCCAUUGGAGGGCAAGUCUGGUGCCAGCAGCCGCGGUAAUUCCAGCUCCAAUAGCGUA